Molecule: transfer-messenger RNA, 402 nt
Filed under: Microthrixaceae
Lineage: Bacteria; Bacillati; Actinomycetota; Acidimicrobiia; Acidimicrobiales
Also listed under: 1 other name
Description: JAMLGJ01 sp023957995 Standard tmRNA
Rfam family: transfer-messenger RNA
About the family: Bacterial tmRNA, also known as 10Sa RNA or SsrA, is named for its dual tRNA and mRNA-like properties. Its role is to liberate the mRNA from a stalled ribosome.
Source: RNAcentral
GGGGCUGACUGGUUUCGACGUUGGGAUCUGGAAGUCACGCUUGCGACCCGAGUUGUCUCAGACUCGUUAAACGGGGGCACCAAAUGAACCGCCGAUGAGCAGUUCGCUCUCGCAGCCUGAUCUGAUCAGUCUGUAGAAGAGUCAUCGUGACCAGAAAUGGCGCACGGGGCCUGAUCCUCACAGCCCGGCAACAGAAGUGAGGGUGGACCGCAGGGAAAGACCGCUGACAGCCGGCAAAGACCGCUGACAUCGGGGAAAGACCCGGCAGUUGAGAAAGUCCUCUCGUAGGGCCGAUCAGCCGACCCGCCGGUGCCACGGCUGUAAGUGGCAGAGUCGGGAAUGGUCGUAGCGGGUGUGCCAACCACCUGGCGGACGGGGGUUCGAUUCCCCCCAGCUCCACUC